GGAUCCAUGAGGCAGGAACCGAUGCCGGGAAGAUCCGAGAUAUGGAACCGUGUGCAGAGAGAAUCUAGACCGGUUCCCAGGAUGAACAGCAGCACCAGCCC
This is a non-coding RNA of Callorhinus ursinus (northern fur seal), 101 nucleotides long. The record is from RefSeq and is a predicted model, not a curated record. NCBI's taxonomy places the organism in Eukaryota, Metazoa, Chordata, Mammalia, Carnivora, Otariidae.